RNAcentral lists this ribosomal RNA (124 nucleotides) under Cereibacter changlensis. RNAcentral describes it as "partial 16S ribosomal RNA". It matches the Rfam family "Bacterial small subunit ribosomal RNA", at positions 1418 to 1533 of the family's 1533-position model. The record is from RNAcentral. Lineage: Bacteria; Pseudomonadati; Pseudomonadota; Alphaproteobacteria; Rhodobacterales; Paracoccaceae.
UACCCGAAGGCGGUGCGCCAACCAGCAAUGGAGGCAGCCGACCACGGUAGGAUCAGUGACUGGGGUGAAGUCGUAACAAGGUAGCCGUAGGGGAACCUGCGGCUGGAUCACCUCCUUUCUAAGG